GAUGAAACAUCAAUGAACUAAUCCAAAAGGGAAAUAAAAACCCAAAUAUUCAGAUUUGAAUGUUACAGAAUCCACCCAAAUAAACUUCUAAAAAAGAGAAAUAGGAAAAAAAUGAAGAAAAGAAACUUACAAAGGCACUCUUGGAGCGUCGAUGGGCAGACCUGCCAACAGAAAAUCUGGAAAAAAUACCAACCAUGUUUUUCGUUACGAACAAAUUGUGGGUAACCGAUAUAGCAUUAGUAAGAUUUCAGAAUAG
RNAcentral lists this long non-coding RNA (256 nucleotides) under Gossypium raimondii (Peruvian cotton). RNAcentral describes it as "long non-coding RNA (GRAI_LNC006467)". Lineage: Eukaryota; Viridiplantae; Streptophyta; Magnoliopsida; Malvales; Malvaceae. The record is from RNAcentral.